AAAGCAGCAAGACAAAGCCACAGCCACCAACGUCCGUAUCGCACACGCGAAACUCUGCCACGCUUAGAUUCGGCACGAGUGUUCAUCACUACUAGCGACGUUUUCCUCUCUUUUGUGUGUGUGUCUGCCUUCCGUUACGAAGAGCACACACGCACUUGCCUCCGCCCUCGCCCGCCCCCCCCGAUACCUCCAGCCAUGUUCCACAACAGCUACCAGGCAGGCUUCCUGUCGAUCCUUUACAGCAUCGGCUCGAAGCCACUGCAGAUUUGGGACUCGCAGGUGCGCAACGGCCACGUCAAGCGCAUCACCGACGAGGACAUCCAAAGUAGUGUGCUGGAGAUUAUGGGGAGCAAUGUUAGCACGUGCUACAUCGUCUGCCCCGCCAACCCGAAGCAGACCCUUGGCAUCAAGCUGCCGUUUCUCGUCAUGAUCAUCAAGAACAUGAAGAAGUACUUCUCCUUCGAGGUGACCAUACUGGACGACAAGAACAUGCGCCGUCGCUUCCGCGCCAGCAACUACCAGAGCACAACGAAGGUGAAGCCGUUCAUAUGCACUAUGCCGAUGCGCCUCGAUGAGGGCUGGAACCAGAUCCAGUUCAACCUAUCCGAUUUCACGCGCCGCGCCUACGGCACGAACUACGUGGAGACGCUGCGGGUGCAGGUGCACGCGAACUGCCGCAUCCGCCGUCUGUACUUCAGCGACCGCCUAUACGCCGAGGAGGAGCUGCCACCGGAGUUCAAGCUGUUCCUGCCCAUCGCCCAGCAGCCUCCGGCGGCUGCGGCGGCGGAGCAGAGAGACGUCGAAGCCGCCGACGUGCCGCAGGCUUCCUCCGUGGCCCAGUGAGUCCGCCCCUUCCGGGCCGCGCUGCCCCUGCGCAUUUCUCCGUGUGUGUGUGUGUGCGCGCGCGAGGCUCGUGUCUCUGUGUUUGCUGUGUUUGUUUGUCGCCUUCGUUUCUCACUUCUCUUUCCUGCCCUCCCCUCCCCCGAGUUGUGUGGUGGCAGCGUGAGACAGUCCUCCUCCUCUUCCCUCUUCUUCUAUGUAUUGGUAGCUGAUGCUGAUGUGGUGAUGGCGAGAGCACACAUGGAGGUACAUGUGGGCACAGGUGUGUGUGUGUGUGUGUGUGUAUCGAUGUACAUCUUCG
RNAcentral lists this unclassified non-coding RNA (1141 nucleotides) under Leishmania donovani. RNAcentral's name for it is "gene:LdHU3.21.0460(CDS-product:Protein_of_unknown _function_(DUF667)_putative)". Lineage: Eukaryota; Euglenozoa; Kinetoplastea; Trypanosomatida; Trypanosomatidae. The record is from RNAcentral.